GAUGAAUUUUGAUUCUUUUACUAGAUUCUUGGUUAGUCAUCAACAUUGGACAUUUUAUCCUGUUAUGUGUUUUGCUAGAAUCAAUUUGUUUGCUCAGUCAUUCAUAUUGUUGUUAUCCAACAAAAAUGUGCCCCAUCGAGUUCAGGAGCUUUUGGGGGUGGUUUCUUUCUGGAUUUGGUAUCCGUUGCUUGUUUCUUUCUUGCCAAACUGGGGCGAAAGAAUUAUAUUUGUUCUUGCUAGUUUCACAGUGACUGGAAUUCAGCAUGUUCAAUUCUGUUUAAACCAUUUCUCAUCUGAAAUUUAUGUUGCACCAC
This 314-nucleotide unclassified non-coding RNA is filed under the name Hevea brasiliensis (rubber tree). Lineage: Eukaryota; Viridiplantae; Streptophyta; Magnoliopsida; Malpighiales; Euphorbiaceae. The record is from RNAcentral.